GGAAUCUUCGGCAAUGGACGAAAGUCUGACCGAGCAACGCCGCGUGAGUGAAGAAGGUUUUCGGAUCGUAAAACUCUGUUGGUAGAGAAGAACGUUGGUGAGAGUGGAAAGCUCAUCAAGUGACGGUAACUACCCAGAAAGGGACGGCUAAUUACGUGCCAG
RNAcentral lists this ribosomal RNA (162 nucleotides) under uncultured bacterium. Its description in RNAcentral is "partial 16S rRNA". It matches the Rfam family "Bacterial small subunit ribosomal RNA", at positions 358 to 511 of the family's 1533-position model. The record is from RNAcentral.